Molecule: ribosomal RNA, 827 nt
Filed under: Staphylococcus pseudintermedius
Lineage: Bacteria; Bacillati; Bacillota; Bacilli; Caryophanales; Staphylococcaceae
Description: partial 23S ribosomal RNA
Rfam family: Bacterial large subunit ribosomal RNA
Source: RNAcentral
CCUGAGUACGACGGAGCACGUGAAAUUCCGUCGGAAUCUGGGAGGACCAUCUCCUAAGGCUAAAUACUCUCUAGUGACCGAUAGUGAACCAGUACCGUGAGGGAAAGGUGAAAAGUACCCCGGAAGGGGAGUGAAAGAGAACUUGAAACCGUGUGCUUACAAGUAGUCAGAGCCCGUUAAUGGGUGAUGGCGUGCCUUUUGUAGAAUGAACCGGCGAGUUACGAUCUGAUGCAAGGUUAAGCAGAAAAUGUGGAGCCGUAGCGAAAGCGAGUCUGAAUAGGGCGAAUGAGUAUUUGGUCGUAGACCCGAAACCAGGUGAUCUACCCUUGGUCAGGUUGAAGUUCAGGUAACACUGAAUGGAGGACCGAACCGACUUACGUUGAAAAGUGAGCGGAUGAACUGAGGGUAGCGGAGAAAUUCCAAUCGAACUUGGAGAUAGCUGGUUCUCUCCGAAAUAGCUUUAGGGCUAGCCUCAAGUGAUGAUUAUUGGAGGUAGAGCACUGUUUGGACGAGGGGCCCCUCUCGGGUUACCGAAUUCAGACAAACUCCGAAUGCCAAAUAAUUUAACUUGGGAGUCAGAAUGUGGGUGAUAAGGUCCAUAUUCGAAAGGGAAACAGCCCAGACCACCAGCUAAGGUCCCAAAAUAUAUGUUAAGUGGAAAAGGAUGUGGCGUUGCCCAGACAACUAGGAUGUUGGCUUAGAAGCAGCCAUCAUUUAAAGAGUGCGUAAUAGCUCACUAGUCGAGUGACACUGCGCCGAAAAUGUACCGGGGCUAAACAUAUUACCGAAGCUGUGGAUUGUCCUUUGGACAAUGGUAGGAGAGCGUU